RNAcentral lists this ribosomal RNA (202 nucleotides) under uncultured bacterium. Its description in RNAcentral is "partial 16S ribosomal RNA". It matches the Rfam family "Bacterial small subunit ribosomal RNA", at positions 523 to 726 of the family's 1533-position model. The record is from RNAcentral.
UAGCGUAGGUGGCAAGCGUUGUCCGGAUUAUUGGGUUUAAAGGGUGCGUAGGCGGCUAAUAAGUCAGUGGUGAAAGCCGAUCGCUUAACGAUCGAACUGCCAUUGAUACUGCUAGGCUUGAGUAUAGUUGAGGUAGGCGGAAUUGACAGUGUAGCGGUGAAAUGCAUAGAUAUUGUCAAGAACACCAAUUGCGAAGGCAGCU